RNAcentral lists this ribosomal RNA (255 nucleotides) under uncultured bacterium. Its description in RNAcentral is "partial 16S ribosomal RNA". It matches the Rfam family "Bacterial small subunit ribosomal RNA", at positions 524 to 776 of the family's 1533-position model. The record is from RNAcentral.
UACGGAGGAUCCAAGCGUUGUCCGGAUUUAUUGGGUUUAAAGGGUGCGUAGGCGGAUAAUUAAGUCAGUGGUGAAAAUCUUGCGGCUCAACCGUAAAAUUGCCAUUGAAACUGAUUAUCUUGAGUACAGUUGAGGUGGGCGGAAUGUAUCAUGUAGCGGUGAAAUGCUUAGAUAUGAUACAGAACACCUAUUGCGAAAAGCAGCUCACUAAACUGCAACUGACGCUGAGGCACGAAAGCGUGGGGAUCAAACAGG